UUGUAUUGGUAUUCUGCUACACAAUUAUUUUUUAUUACUCAUACAAUCUUCAUACAUCAAAAAACAAGAAAUAACCUUAUUUGUAUCCAAGAUAGUGAUCGUGCACUUAGUUGAAUCCAUUUUAGAAAUAACACUGUUAUGAAAUGGCUGAGCCUAAUGGUUCAGGUAAAUAUUUAUUUGUGAUAUAUACCAUUUUCUAGCGUUUUAAUAGCUCCUGAAUAUAAAUGUUGUUUAGUUAUUGCCUCUUUAUGUAAGGUCUUUUCAUUUCUCCUUGAGCCAAGUUAAGGUCAAAUUCUGAAUGGUACCUGAUUUUAAAAUAAUUUCUGAUUAGUGCUCACCUAAUCCAAUUAUCUAUAAUAAAUGUUUGCCAGGUUUUUCUAUAAAGGGACAUUGUCUUUUCAGGCUUAUGGUUUCUGAUAUAACUAGUUGGCUCUGCUGUUGUAGCAGAAAUGCAGCUAUAAUUUGCAUUCCAAUAAAACUUUGUUAAUGGACACUGAAAAUUGAAUUUUAUAUAAUUUUUCACAUGCCAUAAAAUAUUAUUAUUUUAACCCAUAUAAACAAUAUAUAAAUAGUGGGCAGGAUUUGGUGAGCAGUACUUGCCCCUCUGUUAAUAUAGCUCUGGUUUUUUUUUAUUUUUUUAUUUUUUUGCAGGGGUUGUUGUUUCAUUUUGCUUUGUUUGUUUUAUUAAUGUGUAUAGCAGCUUUAUUUGUAAUAGCAAAAAACUUGAAGCAACUCAAACUUUCAUCAACAGAAAUAUGGAUAAACACACUGUGGUAUAUCCAUAUAAUUGAAUACUUAACUCACCAAUAAAAAUGAAUAAACUAUUGAUGCGUGUAACAACGUGAAUGAAUCUCAAAAUAAUUACAUGCAGUAGUAGAUACUGUAUAUAAAUCUUAGAAAAUAUGAAUUGCAGUGACAGAGAACAAAGAGGUGGUUUUAAACACACAGACAUUUCCAGGGACUACAGCCCCCUGGAUCAAUGCAGAUAAGCAGUUAAAAAGCACACUCCCCAGUUAAUUUCUGGAAGGGGUUUGUCUGUAUACUUCUCUAGCCAUUGUUUGAGGAUUGGGCUCCUCUCUAGGCUGCAUCUAGUAGCCAAUGGGCAAAGAAACAGCAGAACCCUGGGAUACUGACUGUGAGUUCCAGCGUUUCCUGAGUUUUUUCAUCUGGCUUGCUCCAGCAAUAAAGCUAGAGCAGAUUAUCUCUGUAGAUUAUCCUUGGAAGGAGUUUAUUCAUGGAUUGAUCACAGCUGCCACUGCUCCCUCCCAAGGGAUAGCCGCCUUAACCUUAUAGUUCUGGGAAUUGAUGGGACACUGAAUUUCUGAGUCUCUAGACCACUGAAAACAAAUAAAUGGGCAUUCAGUGGGCCCACUUUUUUCCCCCAAGAUGAGAUAAUGCAGUCUGAUCUAAAAUAUAGACGUUUGCUAGAAUUCCUCUCUUCAGCGUAGUGCAGAGAGAAUCCUACUGUCAGCUUCACCACGAGGAUAGAAGGAACUGGAACACACUUAACACUUCAACCUUUCUAGCUGUGUCUAGGGGGAAUGACUUCUCUCUCAAAUGUUUUGAGGUACUAACGGAACUUGGCACAUCCUAAUUUCCUGGAGACAACAAAAAACAAAGGCAGCAGUUUGGACAAACACAAAGGUUUGAGAGGUACCCUAGAAUUUCUGGCCAGACUGACUGGUUAGGUUCUUCUACACUAAACAAGAUUGGGAGAAGCUAUUAGGUUAUCUAAUGUGCAGAAAACAACACAGAGGGUAAAGGCAAAUGAAGAAAUGGGGAAGUAUGUUCCAAAUAGAGAAACAAGAUAAAUUCAAAAAAUACCUGAAGGAGAAGAAAGAAAAAGUGAGAGAAAACACUUUCAAAGAUGUAAAGGCAGAAAACUACUCAAGCCUGGGGAAAUAGAACUCCAGAUCUAGAAAAUUCAAAGGACACCGAAUACUAUCCAUCCAAAGAGAUCCUUAUUAAGACAUGUUAUAAUCAAUUUGUCAAAAAUUAAAGACAGAGUAUUUUUUAAAAAGCAACAAUGAAAAAGCAACAUGUUAAAUACAAGGGUCCCCCACAAGACUAUCAUCAGAUUUUUCAUGAGAAACCUUGCAUGCCAGAGUUAGUGGGAUUCAAAAUCCUCUGAGAAAAAAGACCUGCCAACCAUAGUACUAUGCCCAGCAAUUUUGUCUUUCAAAAAUGAAAAGGAGAUAACAACUUUCUCAGACAAAUGAUGGCUAAGGGAAUUCAGCACUGCUAGACCUGACUUACAAGUAGAGUUCUACUUUCUUGAACUUCUUUCUUGAGAGUUCUCUAAAGAAAGUUCUUCAAGCUAAAGGACAGUGAUAAUUAGUACCAUGAGAACAUGAAAGCAGAAAACUCACUGAUAAAAGUAAGUACACUGUCUAAUUCAAACAUUUUAAUUAUGUGAUGCCAGUGUGUAAAUCAAUGAUAUCUCUAGUAUAAAGGUUGAAAUACAAAACUGUUGAAACAAUGGCAGCUACAAUAGUUUGUGAAGGGACACAAAUUAUAAAAAGAUAUAAAAUGUAACAUCAAAAAGAUAAAACAUGAAGGGUGAGUAAAAGUGUAGGGUUUAUGCAUGCAAUGAAAGUUUAGUUUUUGUAAGCAUAAAAUAGCCAGUUGUAAGUAUAUGACUGGCUUUUUAUGUAAGCCUCAAGGUGACCACCUUUAGUGGAUACACAAAAGAUAAAAGGAUGGAAGUCAUACUGCUAUAGAAAACCAUCAAACCACAAAGGGAAGACAGAAUUAUUGGAAGAAAGGCUCUACAAAAUGAUAAAAUAAUGAACAAAGUGGCACUAGUAAAUCUUUACCUAUCAAUAACUGGUUUGAAUGUAAAUGGAUUAAAUUCUCCAAUUAAAAGCCACAGAGUGCCUGAAUGCAUUAAAAAAAGAGAGACUCAUCUAUAUGCUACCUGCGAGAGACUCACUUUAGCUUUAACGAUGUACAGAGAAUGAACAUUAAGGGAUGGAAAAAAGUAUCCCACGCAAAUGAAAACCUAAAGAGAGCAACAGUAGUUAUCCUUAUAACAGACAAAAUAAAGUCAAAAACUGUAGAUGAGAUAAAGAAGGUCAACAUAUAAUAAUAAAAAGGGGUAUGGUCAUCAAAAGGAUGUAACAAUUUUAAAUAUAUAUGCACCCAACAUUGUAGCAUCUAAAAGCAUGAAGCAAAUAUUGAGACAUCUGAAGAGAGAGAUAAACUACAAUACAGUAAUCCUAGGGGAUUUCAGUACCCCACUUUCAACAAUGAACAGACCAUCCACACCAAAAAUCAAUAAGGAAACAAUGGAUUUGAAGAAAACAGUGGACCAAAUGCAUUUAAUAGACAUAUACAGAACAUUUCAGUCAACAGCAGCAGAAUACACAUUCGUCUGAAGCAUACAUAGGACAUUCUUCAGGACAUUACAGGCAUUGAGCCACCAUGCCUGGCCAGCAAUAGAAAUUCUUUCAUAAAAGAUUAGCCCAGGACCAGAUAGUUUCAUGAUGCAACACUACCAAACAUUUAAAUAAAAAUGAAUACCAGUCCUAUUCAAACUCUUUCAAAAAAUUGAACUGGAGAGAAUACCUCAAACUCAUUUUAUAAGGCCAGCAUUACCCUGAUAGCAAAGCCAUACGAAAGUACUACAAGAAAAUUAGUUCAGCUACUACGGAGAAGUUUGGAGAUUUCACAAAGAACUAAGAGUUGAACUCCCAUUCAACCCAGCAGUGCCAUGACUGGGUGCAUGCUCAAAGGAAAAUAAAUUGUUCUACCAAAAACACAUGCACCUGUACAUUCAUUGCAGCACUAUUCACAGUAGUCUUUGCUGUUGUAAAUAGUGCAGAUAUCUUCAUCAAAAUGCUACUACACCAUAUUCAAUACGACAUUGAAAGGAUCAUUUACCAUGAUCAGUUGGGGUUUAUUCUUGCGAUACAAGAAUGGUUCAAUAUAUGCAAAUCAAUAAAUGUGAUUUAUCAUAUUAACACAGUGAAUAGCAAAAACCAUACUGUCAUUUCAACACAUGCAGAAAAAGAAUUUGACAAAAUUCAACCUGUCAUGAUAAAAGCUCAACGAAUUAGGUAUAGAAGGACUGUUCCUCAAUAUAAUUAGGCGAUAUGUGACAAGCCCACAGCUGACAUUAUACUCAUUGGUGAAAAGUUGAAAGCUUUACUCUUAGGAUCAGGAACAAGAAAAGGAUGCCCACUGUCACCACUUCUGUUACACUUCAAUUCAGUGUAUUACUGGAAUUGUUAGCCACAGAAAUUAGGUAAUAAAAAGAAAUAAAAGGCAUCCAGAUUCAAAAGGAAGAAGUGAUAUUGUGGUUGUCAACAACAUAAUGUUAUAUAGAAAAUCCUCAAGACCCCACUAAAAAGCUGUUAGAACUGAUAUAUAAAUUCCGUAAUGUACUUCAGUAAUGUUUCAGGAUACAAAGUCAACAUACAAAAAUCAGCAGUGUUUCUUGCUUUUUUUUUUUUUUUAAUAGAGACAGUGUAUCACUCUGCCACUCAGGCUGAAGUGCAGUGGCAUGAUUGUAGCUCACUGUACCUUGAACUCAUGGGUUCAAGCAAUCCUUCCACCUCAGCCUCCUCAGUAGCUAGGACUGCAGGUGCAUGCUACCACAUCUGGCUAUUAAAUUUUUUUUUUUUUUCUCGUAGAGAUGGAAUCUUCUUUCUCUGUGUUGCCCAGGCUGGUCUUAAAGUCUUAGCCUCAAAUGAUUUUCCUGCUUUGGCCUCCUAAAGUACUAGAAUUACAGUCAUGAGCCACUGCACCCAGCCUAAAAAUCAGUAGCAUUUUAUAAACUAAAAAUGAACUAUCUGAAAAAGAAAUUAAGGAAACCAUCCCAUUUACAAUAGCAUCAAAAAAUAUAAACUAUUUUAUAGUAAAUUCAACCAAAGAGGUUAAAAAUCUGUAUACAAAAAAAUCAUAAAACAUUGAUGAAAGAAAUUGAAGACAACACAAAUGAAAAAUGAUAUCCUGUGUUAGUGGGUUGGAAAAAUUAAUAUUGUUAAAAUCUCCAUAUUGCCCAGAGUGAUUCACUGAUUCAGUGCAAUCCCUAUAACAUUCCAUUUUCAUUUUUCACAGAAAUAAAAAAAAUCCUGAAAUUCAUAUGAAUACACAAAAAAACCCCAAAUAGCCAAAGCAAUCUUGAACAAAAAGAACAAAGCUGGAUGGAGGCUCACACUACCUGAUUUAAAAAUAUAUUAGACAGCACUUUGGGAGGCCGAGGCGGGUGGAUCAUGAGGUCAGGAGAUCGAGACUAUCCUGGCUAACAAGGUGAAACCCCGUCUCUACUAAAAAUACAAAAAAUUAGCCGGGCGUAGUGGCGGGCGCCUGUAGUCCCAGCUACUCGGGAGGCUGAGGCAGGAGAAUGGCGUGAACCCGGGAAGCGGAGCUUGCAGUGAGCCGAGAUUGCGCCACUGCAGUCCGCAGUCCGGCCUGGGCGACAGAGCGAGACUCCGCCUCAAAAAAAAAAAAAAAAAAAAAAAAAAAAAAAAUAUAUAUAUAUAUAUAUAUAUAUAUAUAUUAGAAAGGUAUUGUAAUCAAAACAGCAUGGAGCUGGCAGAAGAAAAUAUACAUUAACCAAUGGAAAAGUAUUAAAAGCUCAGAAGUAAACCCGUACAUUUAUGGUUAGUUGACUUUAAACAAAGGUGCCAAGGACACACAAUGAGUAAAGUAUAGUCUCUUCAAUAAAUGAUGUUGGGAAAACUGGAUAUCCACAUGUAGAAGAAUGAAAUUGGGACCAUAUCUCACCCCACAUAAAAAAUCCAACCAAGUAGGUUAAAGACUUAAAUAUAAGACCUGAAACUGUUAAACUUGAACACAGGUUUGAGCUGUGCAGGUCCGCUUAUACAUGGGUUUAAAAAAAAUAAAUACAGUCAUCCAUAUCAGGGGGAUCUACAUCUGUGACCAAAUGUGGAUCAAAAUAUGGUAUUUGUGAGAUGCAAAAUCCACCCUUAUGGAGGACCAACUUUUUGUACCUGUGGGUUCUGCAGGGCCGGCCAUGGGAUUUGAGUAUGUACAUAUUUUGUUAUCUCAGCGUGGUUCUGGAACCAAUCCCCAUGGAUAUUGAGGGACAAUUGUAGAAUAAAACAUACGGGGAAAACUCUAUGACAUUGGUCUGGCUGUUGAUUUCUUGACUAUGACCCCCAAAACACAGAUAACGAAAGCAGUAAUAGACAAAUGGGAUUGCAUCAAACUCAAAAGCUUCUGCACAGCAAAGGAACUAAUCAACAGAAUGAUGAGACAAACUGUAAAUGGGAGAAAAUAUUUGCAGACUAUGCAUAUGGCAGUGGGUUAAUGUCUAGAAUAUAUAAGCAGUCCAAACAACUUAAUAGCAAAAAAGCAAAUAAUUUAAUUUAAAAAUAGCCAAAAGACAUUUUGCCAAAGAAAUGUCUUAGGGCCUGAGGAUCAGCCUACCUGGCAGCCCCACCCCUGACAGUGCAGCUCCUGUGAUCAUUGGAUUUGUGCCCUCCCCGAGGGCCUGAGGAUGGGCCCACUUGGUGGCCCCACUCUUGCCAAUGCCACCCCCAUGAUGAGUGGAUUUGUACUCUUACCCAGGUCCUGAGGGCCAGCCCACCCAGCAUCCCCACCCCUGAUGACGCUGUCCCUACAACUGGCUGAACUGGUGCAUUUUGUGUGUGCCUUCCAGAGCCAGUGGACUGGUGUGUAUCCAAUGAUGCCACCUCUGAAACCUACAGAACCACUAUGCUUUGCAUGUGUACCCUGCAGGGUCUGAGGGCCAGGCUGUCUGGUAGCUCUGCUCCUGGUGACACUGCCUUUUCAUUUGCUAGAACAACCAUGCUUUGGACAUACACCCUUGGCAUCAAGAUAGCUUGUGUGGCGGCUUUCCCCACAGCCACACUGUCACCCAGGCUGGAGUACAGUGGUACGAUCGUGGCUCACUGCAGCCUCUACCUCCCAAGCUCAAUCAGUUCUCGUGCCUUAGCCUCCCAAGUAGCUGGAAAUAUAGGCAUGUACCACCAUGCCCGGCUAAUUUUUCUGUUUUUGGUAGACAGGAUCUCACUCUAUUGCCUGAACUUGUCUUGAACUUCUGACCUCAAGCAGUCUUUCUGCCUCGGCCUCCCAAAGUGCUGGGGUUACAGGUGUGAACCACUGUGUCUGGCCCACUGCACUUUAAAACAAACAAACAAAAAUAUGCAGGGUCUCAUUAUGUUGCCCUGUCUGGACUUGAACUCCUCAGUUCAAGUGAUCCUCCAGCCUCAGCCUCCCAAGUUGCUGGGAUUAUAGGCAUAUACCACGGUGCAUGGCUUGGAACUGUCACUCAUGCCUUGCGCAUGCCCCCCAGGACCAGAGGACUGGCUUGCUUGGUGGCACCAACAUAGUACUGGAAAAGCACACCAACUUUGUAAACACCCGUAGCCUAAGUCACUGAGGCAGUAACAUCGGAUGUUGACUACAGGUAAAGAAAUUACACAGAGACUACACUGCUGCACCUACCUAGAACCAAAGCUAAAGCACCCUACCCAUUUACCACCUUAGGAUCCAUCUACAGAAAAUGUCUUCUUAAGAAAGUUACCCCAUAAAAUUGGAAGAGGCAGCUGUUUCACCUAAUGGCACAGGUCAAUACGGGGACACAAGAAAUAUGGUAAGAUAACUACCGUGAUAAAAAUAUGCAAAAGAAUAAAACUCACUGGUAGAAGUCAAUUCAGAAUCCAAUUUAGAACUGUUAGAGGUAAUUUCACUUUCAAACUCAGAAUAUAUUAUUAAUGUAAUGGUGGCAUAUAGUCUUUUAAAUCUCUAGUAUGAUGGUUAUAACUCAAAAUGGUAAGUGAUGUCUAUAGCUACAAUUAAAUGUUAAGUAACACAUGAUUUUAAAAAGAUGUAAAUUAAGGCAGCAAGUUAUAAAUUGUGGGGGGAUGGGGAUAAAAGUCUAGCGUAUUUGUAUGCAAAGUUGUUAUCUGUUUAAAAUAGUCCAUUAUAAAUACAAGAUUUUAAAAUGUAAGCCCCAUAGUAACCUGAAAGAACAAAACGACAGCAGAUACAUAAAUAAGAAAGAGAAAAGAAUUAAAGCUUAACUCUCCAGAAAACCACCAAAACAGACAGAUAAAUAGUAAGAGAGGAAGAAAGGUUAUAUAUAGAUAUACAUGUAUAUACGUAUCUAUAUAUACAUAUACAUAGAUAUGUAUAUACGUAUAUAUCCAUAUACACGUAUAUACGUAUAUAUGUAUAUAUACAUGUAAGUAUAUAUGUACAUAUACGUAUAUAUGUACAUAUACGUAUAUACGUAUAUAUGUACAUACACGUGUAUACGUAUAUGUAUAUAUGUAUAUAUGUGUAUACGUAUAUGUAUAUAUAUGUGUAUAUAUGUGUAUAUAUACACAUGUAUAUAUGUGUAUAUAUACACAUGUAUAUAUGUGUAUAUAUACACAUGUAUAUAUGUGAAGGAAAUAUUAUUAGCCCUAAAGGGAGAGAGAGAUAGCAAUACUGUAAUUAUAGGGGACAUCAACACUCCACUUUCAGCAAUGGAUAGGACAACCAGACAGAAAAUCAGCAAAGAACGAUAGAGUUAAACUGCACUCAAGAUAUAUGAACCUAACAGACAUUUACAAAACAUUCUGCCCAGCAGUUGUAGAAUACACAUUUUUUUCUUUUUCUUUUUUUCUUUUUUUUUUGAGACUAAGUUUCAUUCUUCACCUAGACUGGAGUGCAGUGACACGAUCUCGGCUUGCUGCAAUCUCCACCUCCCGAGUUCAAGCGAUUCUCCUGCCUCAACCUCCCAAAUAGCUGGGGUUACAGGCAUGUGUCACCACACCCGGCUACUUUUUUGUAGUUAGUAGAGAUGGGGUUUCACCAUGUUGGUCAGGCUGGUCACGAAUUCCUGACCUCAGGUGAUCCACCCAUCUUGGCCUCUCAAAGUGCUGGGAUUACAGGCGUGAGCCACCACGCCUGGCCCACAUUUUUUUCAUUAGCACAUGGACCUUUCUUUAAGAUAUGUCAUGUGUUGGGCCACAAAACAAGUCUCAAUAAGUUAAAAAAAUUUCAAAUUGGGAGCCGGGGGCCUUGGCUCACACCUGUAAUCCCAGCACUUUGGGAGGCCAAGGUGGGCAGGUCACGAGAUCAGGAGAUUGAGACCCUCCUGCCUAACACGGUAAAACCCUGUCUCUAUUAAAAAUACAAAAAAUUUAGCCAGGCAUGGUGGCAGGCGCCUGUAUUCCCAGCUACUCAGGAGGCUGAGGCAGGAGAAUGGCUUGAACCUGGGAGGUGGAGCUUGCAGUGAGCCGAGAUCACGCCACUGGGCUCCAACCUGGGUGACAGAGCGAGACUCCAUCUCAAAAAUAAUAACAAUAAUGAUAAUAAUAAUAAUAAUAAACAAAAUUUCAAGUUGGGGAGUAUCUUUUGUGACAAGGGAUUAAACUAGAAAUCAAUAAUAGGUUCUUUAGAAACUAUAUGCAAAUAGUUUUUAAACAACAUGCUUCUGAACUACAAAUGAGUCAAAGGAGAUACUAAAAGGGAAAUUAAAAAAAAAUUUAAAGAAAUGAGAAUGCAAAUGCAAUGUACUAAAACCUAUGGUCUACAGCAAAAGCAGUUCUAAUGGGGAAGUUUAUAGCAAUAAUUGUCUACGUUAGUAAGUGAGAAAGAUCUCCAGUAAACCACCAAUAACAUUAUUCCUCAAGGAACUAGGAAAAAUGAGAACAAAAUAAACCUUAAGUUAAUAGAAGAAGAGAAA
This is a long non-coding RNA of Homo sapiens (human), 9667 nucleotides long. RefSeq lists it as uncharacterized. The transcript has 2 exons. Lineage: Eukaryota; Metazoa; Chordata; Mammalia; Primates; Hominidae. The record is from RefSeq and is a predicted model, not a curated record.